RNAcentral lists this ribosomal RNA (513 nucleotides) under uncultured bacterium. RNAcentral describes it as "partial 16S ribosomal RNA". It matches the Rfam family "Bacterial small subunit ribosomal RNA", at positions 28 to 507 of the family's 1533-position model. The record is from RNAcentral.
GACGAACGCUGGCGGCGUGCUUAACACAUGCAAGUCGAACGGAAAGAGGGAAAGAGCUUGCUCUUUCCGGAAUUGAGUGGCAAACGGGUGAGUAACACGUAAACAACCUGCCUUCAGGAUGGGGACAACAGACGGAAACGACUGCUAAUACCGAAUAAGUUCCAAGAGCCGCAUGGCCCAUGGAAGAAAAGGUGGCCUCUACCUGUAAGCUAUCGCCUGAAGAGGGGUUUGCGUCUGAUUAGCUGGUUGGAGGGGUAACGGCCCACCAAGGCGACGAUCAGUAGCCGGUCUGAGAGGAUGAACGGCCACACUGGAACUGAGACACGGUCCAGACUCCUACGGGAGGCAGCAGUGGGGAAUCUUCCGCAAUGGGCGAAAGCCUGACGGAGCAACGCCGCGUGAGUGAUGACGGCCUUCGGGUUGUAAAACUCUGUGAUCCGGGACGAAAAGGCAGAGUGCGAAGAACAAACUGCAUUGACGGUACCGGAAAAGCAAGCCACGGCUAACUACGUG